CCUACGGGUGGCAGCAGUGAGGAAUAUUGGUCAAUGGGCGAGACCCUGAACCAGCCAAGUCGCGUGAGGGAGUACUGCCCUAUGGGUUGUAAACCUCUUUUGUCAGGGAGCAAAAGCCGGAUGUCUCCGGCGGUGACACUACCCGACUAAAAAGCAUCAGCUAACUCCGUGCCAGCAGCCGCGGUGAUACGGAGGAUGCGAGCGUUAUCCGGAUUUAUUGGGUGUAAAGGGUGCGCAGGCGGAGUUUUAAGUCAGCGGUAAAAUCUCGGGGCUCAACCCCAAGCAGCCGUUGAAACUGGGGAGCUAGAGUGAGCGAGAGGUAUGCGGAAUGCGUGGUGUAGCGGUGAAAUGCAUAGAUAUCACGCAGAACCCCGGUUGCGAAGGCAGCAUACCGGUGCACAACUGACGCUCAGGCACGAAAGUGUGGGUAUCGAACAGGAUUAGAUACCCGUGUAGUC
Molecule: ribosomal RNA, 458 nt
Filed under: uncultured bacterium
Lineage: Bacteria
Description: partial 16S ribosomal RNA
Rfam family: Bacterial small subunit ribosomal RNA
Source: RNAcentral